RNAcentral lists this ribosomal RNA (459 nucleotides) under uncultured bacterium. RNAcentral's name for it is "partial 16S ribosomal RNA". It matches the Rfam family "Bacterial small subunit ribosomal RNA", at positions 338 to 795 of the family's 1533-position model. The record is from RNAcentral.
CCUACGGGAGGCAGCAGUGAGGAAUAUUGGUCAAUGGCCGAGAGGCUGAACCAGCCAAGUCGCGUGAGGGAAGACGGCCCUACGGGUUGUAAACCUCUUUUGUCGGGGAGCAAAGCGAGUCACGUGUGACUCAUUGAGAGUACCCGAAGAAAAAGCAUCGGCUAACUCCGUGCCAGCAGCCGCGGUAAUACGGAGGAUGCGAGCGUUAUCCGGAUUUAUUGGGUUUAAAGGGUGCGCAGGCGGAGGUGCAAGUCAGCGGUCAAAUUGCGGGGCUCAACCCCGUACUGCCGUUGAAACUGCAUCCCUUGAGUGCGCGAGAAGUAUGCGGAAUGCGUGGUGUAGCGGUGAAAUGCAUAGAUAUCACGCAGAACUCCGAUUGCGAAGGCAGCAUACCGGCGCGCAACUGACGCUCAUGCACGAAAGCGUGGGUAUCGAACAGGAUUAGAUACCCCAGUAGUC